CGUGGUCGCCUCCAAAAUUAGGUUUUUUCUCUGUUUUUGAAUCUUUUCACUUCCGCCUCCUUUUUUUUUCUUCCCCUCUGAUUCGCUCCCUUCUCCUUUUAUAUUCACAGCUUUAGGGUUUAGGGUUGUUGUAUGGAAUUCCAAAGAAUAUCUUCUGCAAACUACUUUUGAUGCGCUCAGUUGGGAUUGGCCUUUUUGAUGCUUGAUUCGGAACGGGUACUCAGAGCUCAAACUUUCUCUUUGAAUUUU
RNAcentral lists this long non-coding RNA (249 nucleotides) under Lathyrus oleraceus (garden pea). RNAcentral describes it as "Pisum sativum (pea) long non-coding RNA (PSAT_LNC007703)". Lineage: Eukaryota; Viridiplantae; Streptophyta; Magnoliopsida; Fabales; Fabaceae. The record is from RNAcentral.